RNAcentral lists this ribosomal RNA (758 nucleotides) under uncultured bacterium. Its description in RNAcentral is "bacterial SSU rRNA". It matches the Rfam family "Bacterial small subunit ribosomal RNA", at positions 25 to 856 of the family's 1533-position model. The record is from RNAcentral.
CUCAACGAACGCUGGCGGCAGGCUUAACACAUGCAAGUCGAACGCCCCGCAAGGGGAGUGGCACGGGUGAGUAACGCGUGGGAAUCUACCCAUCUCUACGGAAUAACGCAUGGAAACGUGCUAAUACCGUAUACGCCCUACGGGGGAAAGAUUUAUCGGGGAUGGAUGAGCCCGCGUUAUUAGCUAGUUGGUGGGGUAAAGGCCUACCAAGGCGACGAUCCAUAGCUGGUCUGAGAAUGAUCAGCCACAUUGGGACUGAGACACGGCCCAAACUCCUACGGGAGGCAGCAGUGGAAUAUUGGACAAUGGGCGCAAGCCUGAUCCAGCCAUGCCGCGUGAGUGAUGAAGGCCUGGGUUGUAAAGCUCUUUCACCGGAGAAGAUAAUGACGGUAUCCGGAGAAGAAGCCCCGUAACUUCGUGCCAGCAGCCGCGGUAAUACGAAGGGGGCUAGCGUUGUUCGGAAUUACUGCGUAAAGCGCACGUAGGCGGACUUUUAAGUCAGGGGUGAAAUCCCGGGGCUCAACCCGAACUGCCUUUGAUACUGGAAGUCUGGAGUAUGGAAGAGGUAAGUGGAAUUCCGAGUGGAGGUGAAAUUCGUAGAUAUUCGGAGGAACACCAGUGGCGAAGGCGGCUUACUGGUCCUACUGACGCUGAGGUGCGAAAGCGUGGGGAGCAAACAGGAUUAGAUACCCUGGUAGUCCGCCGUAAACGAUGAAUGUUAGCCGUCGGGCAGUAUACUGUUCGGUGGCGCAGCUAAC